MicroRNA precursor from Oryza sativa Japonica Group (Japanese rice), 178 nucleotides. It matches the Rfam family "MIR807 microRNA precursor family". NCBI's taxonomy places the organism in Eukaryota, Viridiplantae, Streptophyta, Magnoliopsida, Poales, Poaceae. The record is from Rfam.
AACCACACUAUCAAUGAAAGGAUUCACCCGCGAGAUGACGUGGCUGUUUCACAAAGGACGAGGGCGUGGCAUCCUAUUACCAGCCAUCGCACGAAAUUAAUAUGAUAUGCCACAUCAUCAUCCUAGAUGGAAUAACUACGUCAUCACACGGGUGAAUCCAUUCAUCGAUAGUGUGGUU